GUGUGUGUGUGUGUGUGUGUAUGUGUUUGUGAUUUAAAAUUACAUUCAGUCAACUCUCUCUUUUUAUAGCCCUAUGGGCUUUUUGAAUAACCAAAUGCUCAACAGUUCUGUAAUCUUUCAGGUUGCUGUGAUCAGUCCCUAAGGAGUCUACACUCUCAGAGAGAUUGGGAAAGGCCUGUGAGACAAUGGGAUUCUUUUUUCUAGAGGUGUAACUCUGCCUGUGUUUGCAUGCCACCUCCAGAACGACUAAAAUGUUAUUUCUCAGUGGGUGAUUAAGACUGGCAGCAAUUGCAAAAACAGAUUCAUGCCAUGUGUCACUCUUCACAGUCAGGAACUUAUUUACCUCUUGGAACUUUCCAAAGGAACGAUGAUGGUGGUGAUAAUGUCACAUUAAUAUGGAGCCCUUAAAUUCAGCAGUGUUCAACCUGAGGGAAGAGAGAACCCUGGGACUUGCCCCAGUAACUUUCACCCUGUGCCUUUGCUUCAGGGCCAUGCUGGAUAAGGAACUGGCUGCCUCUGUGAACAUCCUACUCAAGGCAUCUUCACUGCUGUACAUCCUUUUGAAAUCCCAGAGGUCUUCAGUCUCCCUGUGGAUUAAGGAGAUGUGCAGUAUUUAAAGUAGCUUCAGGAAGGCAUGGAAGAGGACUGAGUGCGGAAAGCUUUUUGUGCAUGCUGCUGGCCACCUCCAGCGGCUGCCUCCAGCCUCCAUCAGCUGCACUCUGGGGAAGAGGAGGCUGCCUUCUACCUCUCAGCAUCUCUGGAUUUCAUGUUCCUGUCAGCACAGAGGAGCUAAAUGGCCU
This 800-nucleotide small RNA is filed under the name Pongo abelii (Sumatran orangutan). Its description in RNAcentral is "processed transcript". The record is from RNAcentral. Lineage: Eukaryota; Metazoa; Chordata; Mammalia; Primates; Hominidae.